Molecule: ribosomal RNA, 492 nt
Filed under: uncultured bacterium
Lineage: Bacteria
Description: partial 16S ribosomal RNA
Rfam family: Bacterial small subunit ribosomal RNA
Source: RNAcentral
AGUGAACGCUGGCGGUAGGCCUAGCACAUGCAAGUCGAACGGCAGCACAGUAAGAGCUUGCUCUUACGGGUGGCGAGUGGCGGACGGGUGAGGAAUACAUCGGAAUCUACUUUUUCGUGGGGGAUAACGUAGGGAAACUUACGCUAAUACCGCAUACGACCUACGGGUGAAAGCAGGGGAUCUUCGGACCUUGCGCGAUUGAAUGAGCCGAUGUCGGAUUAGCUAGUUGGCGGGGUAAAGGCCCACCAAGGCGACGAUCCGUAGCUGGUCUGAGAGGACGAUCAGCCACACUGGAACUGAGACACGGUCCAGACUCCUACGGGAGGCAGCAGUGGGGAAUAUUGGACAAUGGGCGCAAGCCUGAUCCAGCCAUACCGCGUGGGUGAAGAAGGCCUUCGGGUUGUAAAGCCCUUUUGUUGGGAAGGAAAAGCAGCAGGUUAAUACCCCGCUGUUCUGACGGUACCCAAAGAAUAAGCACCGGCUAACUUCGUG